CCUUCUGACCUUGUACUUGGCAUUAGACCAAGUAUGUAAGAGCUCCAAAUACAUCUUGCUUAAGUGAAGCAGCAGAAGAGACUAUCACCUGAGACUCCUAUUGAUGGGUAAUUGAUGGUUGAGAUCAAGUCUAGUUUGGAAUCUGCAGGGCAAGUGAAAUUAUGUGGAACUGGUUGCAAUGACGGCUGUGAGAAAGUGUAAACCUGUUACAGUUAGAAGAGUUGAAGUUAUUUUCUUUGCUUACAUGCAUGUGGAAUCCUCGUAGUCCAAAGCAUGCUUCUAGGCUUAUACUUAAACUAAUGUCAAGUGGAGAUCACAUCACACCACAACUUCAAGUGGUUCAGAGUAGAAUGCACUCGUACUUAGUGCUACUUUGAGAAAGUUUGUAUUAUCAACAAAAAGACAUCGCAUGAUCUUUAUCUCUUUUCUUUCCUUUUUUGGUCAAAACAUGGUCUAUCUAUCUAAUUUAUGAGGGGCAAAAAAAAGAAAGAGAUAAAAUGGAAUUAGAUAGUCUCUCGAAGCCCAAAUAAGUUACCAUCAAAUAUUAAAAAGCUCCGAUGCCGGGAAUCGAACCCGGGUCUCCUGGGUGAAAGCCAGAUAUCCUAACCGCUGGACGACAUCGGAUAGACGUUAGUAGUUAUGAAUCUAAGAAUAUACCGUGUUUUAGUAUACCUCCACUACUUGUAACCUAGAUAUGGUAAUGUCAAAGAAGGUUUAUGAUUAAAUGUUUUUUUUUUUUGGUUUAAAAGGGUUGAUAAUAAUGAAUACGCUGAAUGUUGAAGGUUUAUGAUUAUAUCUUGAAAUAUCUAUGUGCACAUGAAAGGUAAGGUUCGACUCUACCCAGAGUUAGUUUAGUUUUUUCUUUUAGAAUUAGGCUUCUUAUAAAUAAAAUGUUUAUGUUAAAAGACUAUUGUUUUAAAAUUUGCCUUGAGCCCCACUUACCCUAGGCACGCCACUGGCUGCGAUGUGCGCAAGUAGGAAAAUUGAGGUGUUAAAGGAAGCAUUGAUGGAGUUCAAUGGACAUGAAGAAAGAUUCUCAGAGCAACUGCAAGAGCUUGAAGAACAUCUCUACUUCUGCUUCCACACUAUUAACAGAUCAAGAAGACUAGUGUUAGCGCAAAUCACCGUACCAAGUUCUUGAUUCUUCAAUUAUUUUGGUUCAUCAAAAAUAUCAAUACUUUUGUAGUGUUUAUGAAUUACUUAUCAUAAAUAAUUAUCAGUGUAGGAAAAUAUUUCAAUGUUUUCUUCAUGAUUCUAGUAAAACUGUCCAAGCAAAAUAUUUGAUUAUGAAGUGACAAAGAAGAUAUAUUUGAUUAUUGUUCUUUUCUUGUGUUCUGAAGCAGUGUAGGUCAAACAUCAUUAUAAUUGAACCGAACCAAACCACAAACCAAGAUGGUUACAAAAAAAACAGAUUUAAUCUCACAGUAUUGUUAAAUUGUACUUGGUAAACUCACUUUGCUACAUAAUCUUUCCGGGUUUGAAGCAUUCAAAUAAAUACACACAACAAAUAUAUAUAAUCAUUUCCUCAGAUAGAAUCGGAUCUUCUCCAUUAACAGACCCAUCAAACCAGAAAGAAAAGCAGAAGAAAAAACAAAGCGGGCGGGUCACUCCGGGAGAAAAGAAACAGAGAUACAGAGCGCGACCACAGCCAAUAACUUUUUCAGACAGACAAACUUAAAAC
Molecule: long non-coding RNA, 1681 nt
Organism: Brassica rapa (field mustard)
Lineage: Eukaryota; Viridiplantae; Streptophyta; Magnoliopsida; Brassicales; Brassicaceae
Source: RefSeq, a predicted model, not a curated record